GCUCAGAACGAACGCUGGCGGCGUGCCUAACACAUGCAAGUCGAACGGAGGUAGCAAUACCUUAGUGGCGCACGGGUGAGUAAUGCAUGGGAAUCUGCCCUAUGGUGUGGGAUAACUACGGGAAACUGUAGCUAAUACCGCAUAAGCAAAAGCCGAAAGGUUUUUGGAAAAGCCGGGACCGCAAGGCCGGUUGCCAAAGGAUGAGCCCAUGUCCCAUUAGCUUGUUGGCGGGGUAACGGCCCACCAAGGCGAAGAUGGGUAGCUGGUCUGAGAGGACGAUCAGCCACACUGGAACUGAGACACGGUCCAGACUCCUACGGGAGGCAGCAGUGGGGAAUAUUGCGCAAUGGGGGAAACCCUGACGCAGCAACGCCGCGUGAGUGAUGAAGGCCUUCGGGUUGUAAAGCUCUUUCGGCUGGGAAGAAGGGUGUGGGAGUUAAUAAGUCUCACAUUUGAUGGUACCAGAGUAAGAAGCACCGGCUAACUUCGUGCCAGCAGCCGCGGUAAUACGAAGGGUGCAAGCGUUGUUCGGAAUUACUGGGCGUAAAGGGUUCGUAGGCGGGAAGACAAGUCAAGUGUGAAAUCCCCAGGCUCAACCUGGGACGUGCAUUUGAGACUGUUUUUCUUGAGUUUUAGAGAGGGUGGUGGAAUUGCUGGUGUAGGAGU
This 666-nucleotide ribosomal RNA is filed under the name Aeromonas sp. Its description in RNAcentral is "bacterial SSU rRNA". It matches the Rfam family "Bacterial small subunit ribosomal RNA", at positions 22 to 682 of the family's 1533-position model. The record is from RNAcentral. Lineage: Bacteria; Pseudomonadati; Pseudomonadota; Gammaproteobacteria; Aeromonadales; Aeromonadaceae.